GUGGANAGCGGCGAACGGGUGAGUAACACGUUGGUAUCUACCUUUUGGUCAGGGAUAGCCAGUCGAAAGAUUGAUUAAUACCGGAUAGUCUCGAAAGAGUAAAGAUUUAUCGCCAGAAGAGGAACCUGCGUCCUAUCAGCUUGUUGGUAAGGUAGUGGCUUACCAAGGCUAUGACGGGUAGUUGAUCUGAGAGGAUGAUCAACCACAAUGGAACUGAGACACGGUCCAUACUCCUACGGGAGGCAGCAGUGAGGAAUCUUCCACAAUGGGGGCAACCCUGAUGGAGCGACACCGCGUGAAGGAUGACGGCCUAACGGUUGUAAACUUCUUUUCUGAGGGAGCAUAAUGAGAGUACUUCAGGAAUAAGGGACGGCUAAAUACGUGCCAGCAGCCGCGGUAAUACGUAUGUCUCGAGCGUUAUCCGGAAUUACUGGGUGUAAAGGGUACGUAGGUGGUGUGAUAAGUAGGAUAUGAAAGACCGGAGCCUAACUCCGUGUUUGUAUUCUAGACUGUUACACUCGAGUUAGGGAGAGGUAAGCGGAAUUCUAAGUGUAGGGGUGCAAUCCGUAGAUACUUAGAAGAACACCAAAAGCGAAGGCAGCUUACUGGAACUAUACUGACACUGAGGUACGAAAGCGUG
Molecule: ribosomal RNA, 640 nt
Filed under: uncultured bacterium
Lineage: Bacteria
Description: bacterial SSU rRNA
Rfam family: Bacterial small subunit ribosomal RNA
Source: RNAcentral